GCCGGGCGAUAGAGUGGCCAGUCGGCGGCCUCCGCCCGCCCGAUGCGGGCCUUGCUGCUUGCCCCCAGUUCGGCCCGGGUGUGCGGCCCC
This 90-nucleotide transfer RNA is filed under the name Paradevosia tibetensis. RNAcentral describes it as "Youhaiella tibetensis tRNA-Gly". Lineage: Bacteria; Pseudomonadati; Pseudomonadota; Alphaproteobacteria; Hyphomicrobiales; Devosiaceae. The record is from RNAcentral.